This 77-nucleotide transfer RNA is filed under the name Pseudomonadota bacterium. RNAcentral describes it as "Proteobacteria bacterium (wastewater metagenome) tRNA-Ile". It matches the Rfam family "tRNA". Rfam says of the family: Transfer RNA (tRNA) molecules are approximately 80 nucleotides in length. Their secondary structure includes four short double-helical elements and three loops (D, anti-codon, and T loops). Further hydrogen bonds mediate the characteristic L-shaped molecular structure. tRNAs have two regions of fundamental functional importance: the anti-codon, which is responsible for specific mRNA codon recognition, and the 3' end, to which the tRNAs corresponding amino acid is attached (by aminoacyl-tRNA synthetases). tRNAs cope with the degeneracy of the genetic code in two manners: having more than one tRNA (with a specific anti-codon) for a particular amino acid; and 'wobble' base-pairing, i.e. permitting non-standard base-pairing at the 3rd anti-codon position. Lineage: Bacteria; Pseudomonadati; Pseudomonadota. The record is from RNAcentral.
GGGCCCAUAGCUCAGUCGGUUAGAGCAGGUGGCUCAUAACCACUUUGUCGGGGGUUCAAGUCCCUCUGGGCCCACCA